RNAcentral lists this transfer RNA (63 nucleotides) under Namalycastis abiuma. Its description in RNAcentral is "tRNA-Pro". Lineage: Eukaryota; Metazoa; Annelida; Polychaeta; Phyllodocida; Nereididae. The record is from RNAcentral.
CAGACUAUAGUUUAAAAAAAACAUUAGCUUUGGGAGUUAACAAUCAGUAAACCUGUAGUCUGA